RNAcentral lists this transfer RNA (77 nucleotides) under Pseudomonadota bacterium. RNAcentral's name for it is "tRNA-Arg". It matches the Rfam family "tRNA". From Rfam's summary of the family: Transfer RNA (tRNA) molecules are approximately 80 nucleotides in length. Their secondary structure includes four short double-helical elements and three loops (D, anti-codon, and T loops). Lineage: Bacteria; Pseudomonadati; Pseudomonadota. The record is from RNAcentral. RNAcentral also lists the same sequence under 1 other name.
GCGCUCGUAGCUCAGCUGGAUAGAGCGUGGGUCUCCGAAGCCCAAGGUCGCGCGUUCGAAUCGCGCCGAGCGCGCCA